AACGCAUAUUGCACUCUCUGGUAAUCCGGAGAGUAUGCCUGUUUGAGGGUCAGUAAAUAAUAAUUAUCAUGAAUCUUUGAUUUAUGGAAUUGGGCUUUUAUUUCGGUAGAUCUAUGGCCUUAAAUUUACGUUAUGGGCUUGUCAUAUAAAAUCCAAUCUAAAGGAGCAAUUAAACAUUCUCUCAUUAGCGCGGAUUUUUACAAGCUGUUAUGAUCUUUGGUUGCUUUCAGCAUUUUUACGAGUGCGAAACCAAGAUCGUAAGUUUACUCUAACAAUGACCUCAAAUCAGGCAAGAAUACCCGCUGAACUUAA
RNAcentral lists this unclassified non-coding RNA (312 nucleotides) under uncultured Entrophospora. RNAcentral's name for it is "uncultured Claroideoglomus sequence contains ITS2". The stretch from base 1 to 52 matches the Rfam family "5.8S ribosomal RNA", at positions 103 to 154 of the family's 154-position model. The record is from RNAcentral. Lineage: Eukaryota; Fungi; Glomeromycota; Glomeromycetes; Entrophosporales; Entrophosporaceae.